RNAcentral lists this unclassified non-coding RNA (481 nucleotides) under Otomeria elatior. Its description in RNAcentral is "partial external transcribed spacer". The stretch from base 414 to 481 matches the Rfam family "Eukaryotic small subunit ribosomal RNA", at positions 1 to 67 of the family's 1831-position model. Lineage: Eukaryota; Viridiplantae; Streptophyta; Magnoliopsida; Gentianales; Rubiaceae. The record is from RNAcentral.
UUGGUUAGCACGGUUUGGUUAGAUCCCUGCCCCGUGCAGCGACGUUCGACCGUACGUUCCUCUUCAAUAUUCGGCCCAAGCAAGCUUGGCCGGCAAUUUGGUUUCCUGUGUUGUCUACCUACUAACGACGGUAUUCGGUUGCCAAAAUUUUCCUCGUUCGUCUAAUGCUUCCCGUUCUUUCGGUGCGGCUGCGGGUGAACCCUUAAGCGAAGUUUGUGCUCCCCGGCACGACACGGAAUCCGUUGUUUUUGCCGUGGCGCACUAAUUCUCGCUCGGGCUCUGGGGAUGCGGAAUACGCAUGGGGCAAGGGGUCUUCGGGCCGUAUUGUCCAACGAAAGCUAAACGCUCACACAAACGACGGCCGGUGCCRCGUCGGCGCUCGCGUCGCGUUGCCCGGCGUCAGUGAGGAAUGCUACCUGGUUGAUCCUGCCCAGUAGUCAUAUGCUUGUCUCAAAGAUUAAGCCAUGCAUGUGUAAGUACA